Molecule: ribosomal RNA, 253 nt
Filed under: uncultured bacterium
Lineage: Bacteria
Description: partial 16S ribosomal RNA
Rfam family: Bacterial small subunit ribosomal RNA
Source: RNAcentral
UACGAAGGACCCGAGCGUUAUCCGGAUUUAUUGGGUUUAAAGGGUGCGUAGGCGGAUUUAUAAGUCAGUGGUGAAAGCCUUCAGCUUAACUGAAGAAUUGCCAUUGAUACUGUAGGUCUUGAGUACAGUUGAGGUGGGCGGAAUGUGCAGUGUAGCGGUGAAAUGCUUAGAUAUUGCACAGAACACCAAUUGCGAAGGCAGCUCGCUAAGCUGUAACUGACGCUGAGGCACGAAAGUGUGGGUAGCAAACAGG